GACGAUAGUGGCGAACGGGUUAGUAACGCGUAGGGAUUUACCUUGAAGUCUAGAAUAGCUUGGAGAAAUCCAAAUUAAUACUAGAUAGUCCCGUAAGGGUAAAAUUUCCAUCUUUGAUGGUUAUGCUUCAGGAGAAACCUGCGUCCUAUCAGCUUGUUGGUGAGGUAAUGGCUCACCAAGGCAAUGACGGGUAGGGGGAGUGAGAGCUUGACCCCCAACAAUGGGACUGAGACACGGCCCAUACACCUACGGGUGGCAGCAGCCAAGAACCUUCCACAAUGGGCGAAAGCCUGAUGGAGCGACGUCGCGUGAAUGAAGACGCUCUUCGGAGUGUAAAAUUCUUUUCUAGAGGAACAAUUUUGGCUUGCCAAAAUGAGCGUACUUUAGGAAUAAGGGGCGGCUAACUUCGUGCCAGAAGCCUCGGUAAUACGAAGGCCCCAAGCGUUAUCCGGAUUUAUUGGGCGUAAAGCGUGUGUAGGCGGUUUUACUAGUGAUUGGUCAAAUUCCGAAGCUUAACUUCGGAGCUGCUAGUCAAACGUUAAAACUAGAGCAAGUAAGAGGCUAAUGGAACUUACCAAGUAGGGGUGAAAUCCGUUGAUAUGGUAGGGAACACCAAAGGCGAAGGCAAUUAGCUGGUACUUAGCUGACGCUGAGACACGAAAGCGUGGGGAGAGAAGAGGAUUAGAUACCCUCGUAUUCCACGCCGUAAACGAUGUCAACUAGCCGUUUGGAGUAUCGACCCUCUGAGUGGCGAAGCUAACGCAUUAAGUUGACCGCCUGGGAAGUACGGCCGCAAGGCUAAAACUCAAAGGAAUAGACGGGGGCUCACACAAGCGGUGG
Molecule: ribosomal RNA, 840 nt
Filed under: uncultured Planctomycetota bacterium
Lineage: Bacteria; Pseudomonadati; Planctomycetota
Description: bacterial SSU rRNA
Rfam family: Bacterial small subunit ribosomal RNA
Source: RNAcentral